RNAcentral lists this ribosomal RNA (969 nucleotides) under Micrococcus endophyticus. RNAcentral's name for it is "bacterial SSU rRNA". It matches the Rfam family "Bacterial small subunit ribosomal RNA", at positions 296 to 1262 of the family's 1533-position model. The record is from RNAcentral. Lineage: Bacteria; Bacillati; Actinomycetota; Actinomycetes; Micrococcales; Micrococcaceae.
GAGGGGUAUCGGUCCACCUGGACUGAGACCGGUCAGACUCUUACGGUAAGCAGCAAGUGGGAAAUAAUUUGCACAAUGGCCGAAGCCUUGAUGCAAGCGACGCUCGCGUGAGGGAAUGACCGCCCUUUCGGAUGUAAACUUUCUUUCAGUAGGGAGAAAGCGAAAGUGACCGGUACCUGCAGAAAGAAGGCACCCGGCUAACUACGUGCCAGCAGCCCGCGGUAAUACGUAGGGUGCGGAGCGUUAUCCGGAAAUAUUGGGCGUAAAGAGCUCGUAGGCGGUUUGUCGCGUCUGUCGUGAAAGUCCGGGGCUUAACCCCCGGAUCUGCGGUGGGUACGGGGCAGACUAGAGUGCAGUAGGGGAGACUGGAAUUCCUGGUGUAGCGGUGGAAUGCGCAGAUAUCAGGAGGAACACCGAUGGCGAAGGCAGGUCUCUGGGCUGUAACUGACGCUGAGGAGCGAAAGCAUGGGGAGCGAACAGGAUUAGAUACCCUGGUAGUCCAUGCCGUAAACGUUGGGCACUAGGUGUGGGGACCAUUCCACGGUUUCCGCGCCGCAGCUAACGCAUUAAGUGCCCCGCCUGGGGAGUACGGCCGCAAGGCUAAAACUCAAAGGAAUUGACGGGGGCCCGCACAAGCGGCGGAGCAUGCGGAUUAAUUCGAUGCAACGCGAAGAACCUUACCAAGGCUUGACAUGUUCUCGAUCGCCGUAGAGAUACGGUUUCCCCUUUGGGGCGGGAUCACAGGUGGUGCAUGGUUGUCGUCAGCUCGUGUCGUGAGAUGUUGGGUUAAGUCCCGCAACGAGCGCAACCCUCGUUCCAUGUUGCCAGCACGUAAUGGUGGGGACUCAUGGGAGACUGCCGGGGUCAACUCGGAGGAAGGUGGGGACGACGUCAAAUCAUCAUGCCCCUUAUGUCUUGGGCUUCACGCAUGCUACAAUGGCCGGUACAAUGGGUUGCGAUACUGUGAGG